GAUGAACGCUGGCGGCGUGCCUAAUACAUGCAAGUCGAGCGAACGGACGAGAAGCUUGCUUUUCUGAUGUUAGCGGCGGACGGGUGAGUAACACGUGGAUAACCUACCUAUAAGACUGGGAUAACUUCGGGAAACCGGAGCUAAUACCGGAUAAUAUUUUGAACCGCAUUGUUCACAAGUUAAAGACGGUCUUGCUGUCACUUAUAGAUGAAUCCGCGCUGCAUUAGCUAGUUGGUAAGGUAACGGCUUACCAAGGCAACGAUGCAUAGCCGACCUGAGAGGGUGAUCGGCCACACUGGAACUGAGACACGGUCCAGACUCCUACGGGAGGCAGCAGUAGGGAAUCUUCCGCAAUGGGCGAAAGCCUGACGGAGCAACGCCGCGUGAGUGAUGAAGGUCUUCGGAUCGUAAAACUCUGUUAUUAGGGAAGAACAUAUGUGUAAGUAACUGUGCACAUCCUGACGGUACCUAAUCAGAAAGCCACGGCUAACUACGUG
This 497-nucleotide ribosomal RNA is filed under the name uncultured bacterium. RNAcentral describes it as "partial 16S ribosomal RNA". It matches the Rfam family "Bacterial small subunit ribosomal RNA", at positions 28 to 507 of the family's 1533-position model. The record is from RNAcentral.